UCCAAAUUUAUAGUUCUGGUCUGAGCCCAUUGGAGGACUUCUGUACCUAAAUCCGUAAAGAUCUGUCCGUUCAUCUUUAAGAUCCAUCACACAUGCUUGAUUAAGUAUUAGUCGUUCAAAUAAACCCUCCAAUAAUUUUGUCCCAAUUCUUCUUGGAAAAUUCGAAUUCUGAAUAUAUAUAUAUAUAUAAACAAAUAAUAAUAUUCAAGAAAGCACAAAAGAGAAAUAUUCAUAAAGCGACAGCGGAGGUCUCUUCGCUCUUCAAAUUUCCCCAAGAAACCCAAGAGCGAGCGCGAGGAAGAGGCUACCGCGGCCAAUCAGCCACCCAAUCUCGCUUUCUUUUUAUCGCUCUCCCGCUCGCCCCGCUUCUUGAUCGUUGUUUUGUUGCCGAAUUAGAGAUUUGGGUUGAUCCUCAAUUAGAUGGACUGAGAUGAUCUUUCGUUUUGUGGUGGAUGAUUUGAGGUAGGAUUUAGGGUGAUCUUUGGUUUUCUGUUGGAUGAUCUGGCGACGUACGCUUUGCGUGCGUUCAUGGCAGGCAAAAGAUUUGUGGUUCACGAUUUCUGUGUUUUUUUAUGGGACCUUUUCAGUCUGGUUUUCGGUACAGCUCCGCAGAAAUCUUGAUUCUUGAAUAAGGGAAACCGUAGGUUUUAUACCUGUUGCUUAGAAAGAAUGUGCAAGAACAGAUAGAAAUAAGGGAAAGAAAGAGGACAGCAGCAAUGUGAUGAAGGAAGGAAGGAAUCGAAGAGGAUGGAGAAAAGGCAUCAUGCGCAUCACACAAAAAGAUGAACUCCGCUUUCAAGAACUCAUUUCGUCAUGCAACUUGGAUUCGAAGAAUUGAUUCCUUAUGACUUGAUAACUUUCCUUAUCCAUUCUAAACUCGAAAUAGAGUUCAUCAGAUGAAAUGGGAUUCUUGAUCCAAUUCUGAACCAGACAAUGACAUUUCUUGAAAGUGUUUGUUGGUCGCCUAAUUUUUAUAUUUUUUGCAUUACUUUGUUUUCUUUUAGAAGACCUAUGCAUUUUAUUGCUUAGUUUUGCUUUUCCAUUUAAACGACAGGAUAUGAGGGGGAACAAAGCCUAGCAGCAUUAGAGAAUGCCAACAUAUGCAUAAGUUGCUGAUGGAUCUAAAGUUGAAAUUUAUGAUAUUAGGAAUUCCUUUUCUUUUGAUGAAGAGGACCUUCGAAAAUUAUGGGCAAAAUGUAUGUGCUCAUUUCUGCAAGAGUUAAAUGAUGCUGCUGGAGUCAAGUUCAUUUAUGAGUCUCCAGAAAACUUAAUCGAGAAAUUUUUUACUGAAUUUGCUUCAGUAAUAACAAACAGGAACACAUCAUAACUGAGUCAAAGCCUGAUUUUUUUCCAGAUGACGACCAUGUUCACGGAUCACAAGAAUAAUCAACUUUAAUGUGACUGGCCCAGUUAUGUACAAGCAUACACCAUAUAUAGUUCUUGUAACUAUUGGCAUCUGCUAGACGGAAGGAAGACUUUAAGGUUGUGAUUUCUCUGGUCUUAUGUUUCUUUAAUUGUAAUUUGAAGUAGUUAUAUACUUUUUGAUUUAUCA
Long non-coding RNA from Musa acuminata AAA Group (dessert banana), 1552 nucleotides. RefSeq lists it as uncharacterized. The transcript has 4 exons. Lineage: Eukaryota; Viridiplantae; Streptophyta; Magnoliopsida; Zingiberales; Musaceae. The record is from RefSeq and is a predicted model, not a curated record.